RNAcentral lists this ribosomal RNA (366 nucleotides) under uncultured eukaryote. RNAcentral's name for it is "partial 18S ribosomal RNA". It matches the Rfam family "Eukaryotic small subunit ribosomal RNA", at positions 592 to 976 of the family's 1831-position model. The record is from RNAcentral.
CAAUAGCGUAUAUUAACGUUGUUGCAGUUAAAAAGCUCGUAGUUGGAUUUCUGGAGGGAGCGUCGGCCCGUAUUUACGAGUGCGUGACGUCUCUGUCCAUCCUUGCGGGAAGGCACGGCAUUGAUUUGUUGUGUCGGAUCGCAUCAUUUACUGUGAAAAAAUUAGAGUGUUCAAAGCAGGCUUUCGCUUGAAUACAUUAGCAUGGAAUAAUAAGAUAGGACUUUGGUGCUGUUAUGUUGGUUGAGCCUAAAGUAAUGAUUAAUAGGGAUAGUUGGGGGCACCUGUAUUGCGUUGUCAGAGGUGAAAUUCUUGGAUUUACGCAAGACAAACAGCUGCGAAAGCGUCUGCCAAGGAUGUUUUCAUUAA